CUGAUUUGAAAUAAUAGCUGAAACACAAUUAAGCUUUGAAGAAAGGAAAUUUAUCCUAAAACUUUUACUGGAAGUGAGAGAACAUAAAUGAAAUGCAAAGGUAAUUUAAAAGAGAGUUUUGAAGAGAUCUAUCGAUGCAACUCACCAUUAUUCAGAUUAAAAAUUUGAAACAGAUUUAUUCAAGAUGUCUAGAAGCGUCAUUUCGGAAGAUCGCAGAUAUCCAGAAAAAAUGAACCUGCUGGAAACACCGCCAAUCUCUAAGAAUAUCUGUUGACACGCAGCUGGUGAGAUGGGAAUUUCAAAAUCGAGCGUUUAUUGCAUUUCGAAAUAUGCCAUUGAAAAUAUUUUAUUCCAACAUCAAUCUAAACCAUCAAUGAACAUGAUCCUGACUGGAGAAUUGAACUGGUCGGAAAAUCUAGCGAACAGAUGGAUUGGACGAAGAGGUAGCAUUGAAUACCCGCAUGUUCACCAGUCACAUUUCACGGAUAUUUUUACGAAGAUAAGGUUUAGGACAUAAAACCGGCAACAAUCAAUGAACUGAAAGCAGCAUUGAAAGAAUGCGACCAAAUAUCAAAUGUGUGUAUUCGUGAUGUUUACAAUUCCAUUCGAUGAUGAUGAUAGUAAUGCGUGGAUCAGAAUAGUCUUCAGCUCAAAUACUGUGAUGACUUAAAAAUAUUCUACAUUACUCUUCUUACAUUUAACUUUUAUAAUCCAAAUUAAUCUUAAUAAAUAUUGCAUUUAUAAGUAUUCGGUGUGUAUACAUUUUUUGGGUCACCC
Molecule: long non-coding RNA, 777 nt
Filed under: Androctonus crassicauda
Lineage: Eukaryota; Metazoa; Arthropoda; Arachnida; Scorpiones; Buthidae
Source: RNAcentral